GAUGAACGCUAGCGGAAGGCCUAAUACAUGCAAGUCGAGGGGUAACAGAUCUUCGGAUGCUGACGACCGGCGCACGGGUGAGUAACACGUACGCAAUCUACCUUUAACAGGGGGAUAGCCUUGGGAAACUGAGAUUAAUACCCCAUAACAUAUGAUAUACGCAUGUAUGACAUAUUAAAGUUUCGACGGUUAAAGAUGAGCGUGCGUUCGAUUAGGUAGUUGGUAGGGUAAUGGCCUACCAAGCCUACGAUCGAUAGCUGUUUUGAGAGGAUGAUCAGCCACACUGGAACUGAGACACGGUCCAG
Molecule: ribosomal RNA, 305 nt
Filed under: uncultured bacterium
Lineage: Bacteria
Description: bacterial SSU rRNA
Rfam family: Bacterial small subunit ribosomal RNA
Source: RNAcentral